RNAcentral lists this ribosomal RNA (256 nucleotides) under uncultured bacterium. Its description in RNAcentral is "partial 16S ribosomal RNA". It matches the Rfam family "Bacterial small subunit ribosomal RNA", at positions 524 to 776 of the family's 1533-position model. The record is from RNAcentral.
UACGUAGGGGGCAAGCGUUGUCCGGAAUCAUUGGGCGUAAAGCGCGUGUAGGCGGCUCGGUAAGUCCGCUCUGAAAGUCCGGGGCUCAACCCCGGGAGGCGGGUGGAUACUGUCGAGCUAGAGUCCGGGAAGAGGCGAGUGGAAUUCCUGGUGUAGCGGUGAAAAUGCGCAGAUAUCAGGAGGAACACCAAUGGCGAAGGCAGACUCGCUGGGACGGUACUGACGCUGAGACGCGAAAGCGUGGGGAGCAAACAGG